GGCUGGUCUGAAGGUAGCGAGUUAUCUCAAUUGAUUGUUCACAGUCAGUUACAGACUACACUCCUUGUCAUAUUCUUCCCCCCUUUUCACUACUGUACUUGACUAGUCGAAUUUA
Unclassified non-coding RNA from Colobus angolensis palliatus, 115 nucleotides. It matches the Rfam family "Y RNA". From Rfam's summary of the family: Y RNAs are components of the Ro ribonucleoprotein particle (Ro RNP), in association with Ro60 and La proteins. The Y RNAs and Ro60 and La proteins are well conserved, but the function of the Ro RNP is not known. The record is from Ensembl. Lineage: Eukaryota; Metazoa; Chordata; Mammalia; Primates; Cercopithecidae.